RNAcentral lists this non-coding RNA (21 nucleotides) under Arabidopsis thaliana (thale cress). Lineage: Eukaryota; Viridiplantae; Streptophyta; Magnoliopsida; Brassicales; Brassicaceae. The record is from RNAcentral.
UACAAUACCCCGUCGCGUAUU